Molecule: ribosomal RNA, 2632 nt
Filed under: freshwater metagenome
Description: bacterial LSU rRNA
Rfam family: Bacterial large subunit ribosomal RNA
Source: RNAcentral
AGAGCUUUUGAAGGAUGCCUUGGCGAUAAGAGGCGAUGAAAGACGUGGUAGGCUGCGAUAAGCUACGGUGAGGUGUCUACACCCUUUGACCCGUAGAUUUCUGAAUGGGGAAACCCACUGAAUUAUCAGUACUCCGAAAGGAGAGCAAACCCGGUGAACUGAAAUAUCUAAGUAACUGGAGGAAAGGACAUCAAACGAGACUCCGCUAGUAGUGACGAGCGAACGCGGACCAGGCCAGUGUUUUAAAUGUAAGAACUAGAAGGAUUUGGAAAGAUCCGCCAUAGAAGGUGAUAGCCCUGUAUAGGUAGAAAGCAUUUAAAAACUUGAGUAAGGCGGGACACGUGAAAUCCUGUCUGAACAUGGGGGGACCACCCUCCAAGCCUAAGUACUACUUAUCGACCGAUAGUGAACAAGUACCGUGAGGGAAAGGUGAAAAGAACCCCAAAAAGGGGAGUGAAAUAGAAUCUGAAAUCAAAAGCUUAUGAGCAGUCGGAGCACGACCAGCAAUGGGAUGUGUGACGGCGUACCUCUUGUAUAAUGGGUCAGUGAGUUAGUGUAUCUAGCCAGGUUAAGCCGAUAGGUGUAGCCGUAGCGAAAGCGAGUCUGAAUAGGGCGCCAAGUUAGAUGCAUUAGACCCGAAACCGAGUGAUCUAGCCAUGAGCAGGUUGAAGUUGGGGUGAAACCUAAUGGAGGACCGAACCCAUUCCUGUUGCAAAAGUAUGGGAUGACUUGUGGUUAGGGGUGAAAGGCCAAUCAAACUCGGAAAUAGCUGGUUCUCCGCGAAAUCUAUUUAGGUAGAGCGCUAUUCGUUUAUCAUUGGGGGUAGAGCACUGAAUAGGCUAGGGGGGCCCAAAGCCCUACCAAACCUAACCAAACUCCGAAUACCAAUGAACAUAGAGUAGUAGACAGGCAGUGGGUGCUAAGGUCCAUUGCCGAGAGGGAAAAAGCCCAGACCGCCAUCUAAGGUCCCCAAGAUAUAGUUAAGUGUGAAAGGAUGUGGGAAUGCCAUGACACCUAGGAAGUUGGCUUAGAAGCAGCCACCUUUUAAAGAAAUCGUAACAGAUCACUAGCCUAAUAGCAAUCCUGUGCCGAAAAUGUAUCGGGGCUAAAACUAUACACCGAAGAUGCGGGUUUAUGUUGAACGAGAGUCAACAUAAGCGGUAGCGGAGCGUUGUGUAAGCCGUUGAAGGUGUACCGUAAGGUAUGCUGGAGGUAUCACAAGUGAGAAUGCUGACAUGAGUAGCGUAAAGAGGUGUGAGAAACACCUCCGCCGAAAGUCCAAGGGUUCCUGCGUAAAGUUAAUCUGCGCAGGGUUAGCCGACCCCUAAGGCGAGGCCGAAAGGCGUAGUCGAUGGGAACCACGUUAAUAUUCGUGGGCCUGCUAGAAGUGACGAAGUCAAAGGAUUGUAUCUGGUUAUUGGAUUCUAGAUGCAGUUUCAGGCUUCCAGGAAAUAGCUCUAGCAUAUAGAUCGUACCCCAAACCGACACUGGUGGACUGGUAGAGUAUACCAAGGCGUAGAGAGAAUGAUGCUGAAGGAACUAGACAAAUUGUACUCGUAACUUCGGAAUAAGAGUAGCCUCGCUUAGGCAACUAGGUUGAGGUGGCACAAACCAGGGAGAAGCGACUGUUUAUCAAAAACACAGGGCUCUGCAAACUCGAAAGAGGAAGUAUAGGGUCUGACGCCUGCCCAGUGCUGGAAGGUUAAAGUAAGGUGUGCAAGCUCCGAGCUGAAGCCCCAGUAAACGGCGGCCGUAACUAUGACGGUCCUAAGGUAGCGAAAUUCCUUGUCGGGUAAGUUCCGACCUGCAUGAAUGGCGUAACGACUUCUCCAUUGUCUCCAGCAUCAACUCAGCGAAGUUGAAUUCUCCGUGAAGAUGCGGAGUUCCCGCGGUUAGACGGAUAGACCCCGUGAACCUUUACUACAACUUUGCAUUGGUAUUAGGGAUUUAAUGUGUAGGAUAGGUGGGAGACGGUGAAGCUGGGACGCUAGUUCUGGUGGAGUCAACCUUGAAAUACCACCCUUUAAAUCUUUGAUAUCUAACCAAGUGAUCUGAAUCGAUCACUGGGACCAUGCAUGGUGGGUAGUUUGACUGGGGCGGUCGCCUCCGAAAGAGUAACGGAGGCGUGCGAAGGUAAGCUCAGGCUGGUCGGAAAUCAGCUGUUAGAGUGCAAUGGCAUAAGCUUGCCUGACUGCGAGACUGACAAGUCGAGCAGAGACGAAAGUCGGUCAUAGUGAUCUGGUGGUUCUGUGUGGAAGGGCCAUCACUCAACGGAUAAAAGGUACUCCGGGGAUAACAGGCUGAUCACUCCCAAGAGUUCAUAUCGACGGAUGUGUUUGGCACCUCGAUGUCGACUCAUCACAUCCUGGGGCUGGAGAAGGUCCCAAGGGUUCGGCUGUUCGCCGAUUAAAGUGGUACGUGAGUUGGGUUCAGAACGUCGCGAGACAGUUCGGUCCCUAUCUGCCGUGGGUGUAAGGAAAAUUGAGAGGAUCUGUCUUUAGUACGAGAGGACCGAGAUGGACAUACCUCUGGUGUACCAGUUGUUCUGCCAAGGGCAAUGCUGGGUAGCUAAGUAUGGAAGGGAUAAACGCUGAAAGCGUCUAAGCGUGAAACCCACCUCAAAACUAGUUUU